GCAGGGGCGGCGUGCCGUCGGUGUCGAUCUCCACCUGGAUUGAUUCGAAGUGCGGCAGCGUAGUGCUUGACGAGGGGCGCGACGUCCAUGGCGCUCAAGCUUCGGCGACCAUGCUGGAACAACCAACUUACUCCGCAACGACGACGACCACCAUCCCUCUGACCACCAUGCCUUUUUACCACUGUACUUCAAACCAUCUUCACUCAUCCUAGAAAAACAUACUGUAUAGAGUAGGUGCUUGCUACGGUUGCCAAUCCGGGCCUCCGGCAACUAAAUUCGAGACAUAAACAUAUGUUUUGUCUAAUAGCAGGUGCAGAUGCUAGAGGCUAGGCGUCGACACCUCCGGCCUCAUGGCACUCCGUGCAAAGCCAAGUUUGCAGUACCAAGUUGGCACCCUCUUAUCCUCUACAGGUACUAUAUUGGUUAAGCAAGAGGUAUUGUCUUUCCUAGCCAUCAGCAUUAUUUUGAUCUCUAUGCUAGCAUAAUACAAAUAAAAAGUUAAAUCAAUUGAUAAUGUUCUUCUUCUGACUGAAUAAAUUCAUUUUUAGACAGUUAGUGGCAGGGGCAGUUGGUCAGAUAUAAAGCCUUCUGGUAAACCUGGCCGAUUUGAUGGUCGAAGUAGCUACUGAUUUGCUAACGGGUCACUGCUUUGCAAGAUGAAACUGGCCCAUAUUCGUCCCGCACAUAGUUGACUCGUGCUGGAAAGACUGGAGUCCCUCAAAGAAAAAAAAUAUUGAGACUGAUGGCGGCAGAAUGAAAAAGAAGCUUGGCCAUCUCUUCUGUUACUGUUGCUGGCAUUAGGCCUCAAGCGUCUGGAUGAUGAGUAUGGUGUGGAGGCUGUCGGGCUGCAGUCCCAUGGAGUUCUAUGCCUCCAUAGGAAGUGGAUACAAUUGAAGCGCCAUAUACAAUUCACCGACCUCGCCGUGAUGAGAGAGAAGGUGGCCACCAAUAGUAGAUAUUCGAGCUAAGGAGUAACACGACACAAAGGACUGUUGGUUGAUAAGAUUCAUCCACAUACCAUGUCAAUAUUCUUGGACAAGUACGUAUAGUGUUUUCUACCCUCUAGGACUUUGGUAACUUAUUAUUAGGUUGAUCUUUAGUCUUUGGGAGUUUGAUAGCAGGUUAUUAGUUUGAUCUUUAGUCUACAGAUCCAAAGGAGAUCAUAUGGCAUAUAGAGUUUUACUUUAAACUUUGUAAAGGAUACUCAGAUGUGUACACAUUAGAUGGCCACUUGCUAUAAAAAC
Long non-coding RNA from Triticum dicoccoides, 1244 nucleotides. RefSeq lists it as uncharacterized. The transcript has 5 exons. Lineage: Eukaryota; Viridiplantae; Streptophyta; Magnoliopsida; Poales; Poaceae. The record is from RefSeq and is a predicted model, not a curated record.